GAAGGGUGUUUCUCGUGCCCAGCCUGCGUUCUCCGAAAGGGCAGCUGCCCAAAGGUCUGGAAAAGAGAGACUGUUAGAGAUGAAAUGGAAUCAAAAGCCCAGAUCACAAACACCCAUCAAACCUCAGAAGCUCAGGUCCAGAUCUGCCUCUCAGACAGCUGUGGAGAAGGGAAGAACACGAAGCAUUGCCUGGGGCACAGCUUCCAGCCCUCAGGAGGUGGCAUCAGGGACCACAUUUUGCAGCUGAUUUUUCUGUCUGAAAUGGUCUUAAUCAUCCUCAGACCUGGCAGCAGGGAAGUCACUCUGGGGUCACAAUUUCUGUUUCUUUGGCCCAUGUCAAAGAAAUUAAAAUGAUUGUAUCUCUGGUGAGAUAGGAGGUGCAGAACAGCUUUUGAAGAUCUGGGAUUAGCUGUAAGGGACACAAUUAGUGAGGAGGAUGCACAGGUAACUAUGUCAUAGUUACUGAAAAUGUACUUUAUUAAGAUUGGGAGAGAUAAAUGCUUUCCUAGAACUAGACAGCAAGACAAAAAAUACAGACAUCAUUAAGCCAGGAACUGAUGGUAAAGAGAGGACAAGAAAAUUAUGCUAAAUAAAAAGUCAAAUUAACUCCCUGUAUAUUGAAUCACUCCACUUGAUGGAAAGUUUCAGGUGCAUCAUGUAUUUAAAGUCCAGGUAUAAUAGAUGAAAAAAAAAUACUUCACUCAUUAAAAUUUCCUAAACUACUGAAAAAUCUGGGGUGUCGAGUUUUCUCUUCCAACCCAUCUUGAGGUUAAGUGAAGAGCCUCCAGCACCUUUUUUUCCUGUACAAUACUCAGAUAAGUAAGCCCUGAAGGCCAGAGGUUUCCUGAGCUCAGGAAGAACAUCCAGUGUGUCCAGAGCAGCGAUGUGGAGAGGGUGCAGCACCACACAGAGUGUCCCAAGAGUCGCUGUGCUGCUGAGGUGUCCUCUGUGUCCCCUUGGCACAAGCACAGCACGAGCAGGAGCUCACUCAGCAAAACUGAAAGUGUCUGUAACAGGACUCCCUCGUCCAGCAUGCCAUCAGCCUGUGGAAUUUGCCAUCUCCUGGGGCAGUUCCCUCCAGGCUGUGGCACAAUGGCUGAGCAGACCACGAGAGGUUGCUUGCAUUAGAGAAGUUGGACACCAGCUCCCCAUAAGUGGCACCUGGGACUGCUGUUUAACAGCAAGAAGCAUCUCCACUUUCUCCCUCACAGAAAUUCUCCUGUUCUGUGUAUUUCUAGGGAGUCUGCUUUCCCAUUCUGACUUCUAGGAAGACCAACAAAACCUCAAGCAGUGCAGAGAGAGCUGCAAAAAGGAAAUGGUGCUGAAAUAGGAAAAAGGCACAAGACUGUGCAGCUGAUUUAUGCCAGCCAGUCAAGUGCUGGGAAAACAAAUAAAACUGGAAGCAAAAUAUUUUAAUUAAAUAGA
This 1425-nucleotide long non-coding RNA is filed under the name Cyanistes caeruleus (blue tit). RNAcentral describes it as "lncRNA (ENSCCEG00000011280.1)". Lineage: Eukaryota; Metazoa; Chordata; Aves; Passeriformes; Paridae. The record is from RNAcentral.